RNAcentral lists this non-coding RNA (32 nucleotides) under Mus musculus (house mouse). Lineage: Eukaryota; Metazoa; Chordata; Mammalia; Rodentia; Muridae. The record is from RNAcentral.
UAUGGUAAGCUUACUGUCUGUUUUGAGGGGGA